UACGAAGGGGGCUAGCGUUGCUCGGAAUCACUGGGCGUAAAGGGUGCGUAGGCGGGUCUUUAAGUCAGGGGUGAAAUCCUGGAGCUCAACUCCAGAACUGCCUUUGAUACUGAGGAUCUUGAGUUCGGGAGAGGUGAGUGGAACUGCGAGUGUAGAGGUGAAAAUUCGUAGAUAUUCGCAAGAACACCAGUGGCGAAGGCGGCUCACUGGCCCGUACUGACGCUGAGGUGCGAAAGCG
RNAcentral lists this ribosomal RNA (238 nucleotides) under uncultured bacterium. Its description in RNAcentral is "partial 16S ribosomal RNA". It matches the Rfam family "Bacterial small subunit ribosomal RNA", at positions 524 to 761 of the family's 1533-position model. The record is from RNAcentral.